Molecule: long non-coding RNA, 479 nt
Organism: Elaeis guineensis (African oil palm)
Lineage: Eukaryota; Viridiplantae; Streptophyta; Magnoliopsida; Arecales; Arecaceae
Source: RefSeq, a predicted model, not a curated record
ACAAAACCCUAGCCAUUGUCUAACCUGUCCCUAUUCAGCCGCUCCAAGCCUCCACCCGAUGGAGACUCUGAGGACGGAAAAAAUGGAGAAAAACUGGGAGAAUACAUCGGAAAAAUCAACGAGAACGAAGGAAAGACGGAAGAAAUCAAAAGAUUGUAGGUAUCAUAGUUAAAGAUGGUGCUAGUCUGUGAAACUUAACGAGAGAUAGAAUAAUGAUUCAGAAUCACAAGGGGAACAUCAAGAGAGGUCCUCAAACUCAUCGUCAAAAGAAUUGGGUAGGCCACCAAUGCAACUUGAGGCAUUUGAGCAGACCUACAAACAAAAGAGAAGCUCGAGUGAAUUUGUGAACAACAAAUCUAAAAGUAUUUCGAUAAGUUUACUUAUUCUACUUAACAAUAAAUUUAUUAUUUAUCAAUAUAUUGUAAGAAGUAUUAAGUUAAUAUAUUACUAAUGGUUUUAGGAAGAAUUUUCUACUACUU